This 647-nucleotide ribosomal RNA is filed under the name uncultured bacterium. RNAcentral's name for it is "bacterial SSU rRNA". The stretch from base 1 to 541 matches the Rfam family "Bacterial small subunit ribosomal RNA", at positions 338 to 873 of the family's 1533-position model. The record is from RNAcentral.
CCUACGGGAGGCAGCAGUAGGGAAUAUUGGACAAUGGGCGCAAGCCUGAUCCAGCCAUCCCGCGUGCAGGAUUAAGGCCCUAUGGGUCGUAAACUGCUUUUAUCAGGGAAGAAACCGGGGGAUUCAUCCCCCGUUGACGGUACCUGAGGAAUAAGCACCGGCUAACUCCGUGCCAGCAGCCGCGGUAAUACGGAGGGUGCAAGCGUUAUCCGGAUUUACUGGGUUUAAAGGGUGCGUAGGUGGUCUUGUAAGUCAGCGGUGAAAGCUCGGAGCUUAACUCCGAAAUUGCCAUUGAUACUGCAAGGCUUGAGUACAGUUGAGGUAGGCGGAAUAUGUCAUGUAGCGGUGAAAUGCUUAGAUAUGACAUAGAACACCAAUUGCGAAGGCAGCUUGCUAAACUGUAACUGACACUGAGGCACGAAAGCGUGGGGAUCAAACAGGAUUAGAUACCCUGGUAGUCCACGCCCUAAACGAUGCUAACUCGAUUUUGGCGAUAUACAGUCAGAGUACCGAACGGGAAACCGGAACGUAAGUUAGUACCGACCGUACGGGUAGGUACGGUCCGCGAAGGAGUAGUUAACGUUACGUAAGUUAGUUAAGUUAGUUACGGCGUUGAGACGNGCGACGGACGACGACGAGGGAGGAGG